AUAACCAUCUUAUACAAAAUAAUUCCAGAAUUCAAUUUUUCACAGCAGUUUCUUUUAAACAACUGUGUCUAUACUUGUGUGUGUGCACGCAUAUGCAGACAGCUCAACCUUAGUUAACACAAUGUAGAAAGAGGUGGAAGAACAUUAACUUUGUUUAUUUGAGAGAGUGUAGUAGAACAAGUGAUUGGGAGGGAGAUGGAAAAUAACUCAUUAUUUAUAUAAGUUACGCCUGAAAAUUCUUACUGGUUUUAUCAAGGGUUGAUAUCAGCU
Molecule: long non-coding RNA, 270 nt
Filed under: Bos taurus (domestic cattle)
Lineage: Eukaryota; Metazoa; Chordata; Mammalia; Artiodactyla; Bovidae
Description: long non-coding RNA NONBTAT017361
Source: RNAcentral